GAUGAAGAACGCAGCGAAAUGCGAUAAGUAAUGUGAAUUGCAGAAUCCAGUGAAUCAUCGAAUCUUUGAACGCACAUUGCGCCCUCUGGUAUUCCGGAGGGCAUGCCUGUUCGAGCGUCAUUUCAACCCUCAAGCAUUGCUUGGUGUUGGGGCACCGCCUGUAAAAGGGCGGGCCCUGAAAUCUAGUGGCGAGCUCGCCAGGACCCCGAGCGUAGUAAUUAUAUUUCGUUCUGGAAGGCCCUGGCGGUGCCCUGCCGUUAAACCCCCAACUUCUGAAAAUUUGACCUCGGAUCAGGUAGGAAUACCCGCUGAACUUAAGCAUAUCAAUAAGCGGAGGA
Molecule: unclassified non-coding RNA, 338 nt
Filed under: soil metagenome
Description: partial contains 5.8S ribosomal RNA, internal transcribed spacer 2, and large subunit ribosomal RNA
Rfam family: 5.8S ribosomal RNA (bases 1-120)
Source: RNAcentral